UUGUAGUACUUAACUUUUAUUAGACCUGUCCUACAAUAAAAUACAUAAAACAAUUCUUCAUCAUUUCCAGAUUAUCAUCCCAGAGCCCUUCAGCCCACACACAGCUUCUUCAGGAAAUGCUGACAGCAUGGUAUACACAUGGCUUCCAUGUUUGUCAUGCUUCCAAAGUUUGCUUUUGAGUUUAAUUUCUUUCUUUUCCUUCCUUCCUUCCUUCCUUCCUUCCUUCCUUCCUUCCUUCCUUCCUUCCUUCCUUCCUUCCUUCCUUCCUUCUUUCCUUCCUUCCUUCAUUGGCUAAACUCCCCCCACAGGACCUGAGUGAGCAGAAGGUUUUUCAGAUUUACAGUCUGAACUAUUUCUUGAGCAAUUUGGGAACUCAUUUCUAAAGCAGUCUUCAGAUUCACACAACAUAGUUUGUGAGGGGGUAUGCCCAGAGCUGGUAGGAAAGGCAAAACAGCAUUUUGACACUGAGGGAUUUAGCAGAAACAUCUGACCCAACAAGUAAAAACUCUUUUAAAGGUUCAGUCAAGUUUAUUCCCAUCACAUUCCUCUGGAAUGCCCAACAGGCACAUGUUUUGUCAAUGAAAAUUAUUUUCACUCAUUGAUGUUUUGUUUGGCAAGAACCAUUUCUUUGAACAAUUUCUUAUUAAUCAUCUAUAAUUUUUCACUUCUGACAGUGUUAUCACCAGUGCUUUCAGUAACUGCAUAUUUAUACAACAGCCAAACUUCAACCUGUAUUCAGUUUUUAUCUGUCUCCUGGGAAUGUAAUUUGGAAAAAAAGUUACCAAUGUAUUUACAACCAAAUUUCAGAUCUUCAACAUUACAGAAGAGUAAGAGAUUGCAGAUUGCUUCUGUGGACUUAUUGAAGGUGGAUCUGGCUGUUGGUGGAGAUCCCUAGACUGCGUGAGGCCAUGGGCAUGAUCUGGAGACACAGCAGGUUGUACCAGAAGCAUGGCUGAGGAAGCCUGAGGAAACUUACAAUCAUGGCAGA
Molecule: non-coding RNA, 988 nt
Organism: Macaca mulatta (Rhesus monkey)
Lineage: Eukaryota; Metazoa; Chordata; Mammalia; Primates; Cercopithecidae
Source: RefSeq, a predicted model, not a curated record